This 5113-nucleotide long non-coding RNA is filed under the name Mytilus galloprovincialis (Mediterranean mussel). Lineage: Eukaryota; Metazoa; Mollusca; Bivalvia; Mytilida; Mytilidae. The record is from RNAcentral.
CCGUAAGGUAACAUACACGAGUAUUAUUUCACGGUUAAAAUAUAUUUUAUUAUACAUUUGGCAUAUCAAUAACAUAUAUUCAAACAAACGAAAAAGUGUCUUAAAAUUUGUAAUAGAAAACCAAUACAUUAGACUUGUUCCGGGGUGUCGACACUUUAACUUCAAUUAUCAGAGGACAGUACACCACGAAGAUUAUAUCGAAACGAAAAAUAUGGUGAGUUUAAAUUAAACCGAAUUGCACGAUUUCUUUUUCUGAUUAAUCAAAUAUGGGUGAUCCGGGAAAAUUAUUUUUUCUGUAACAGCAUUGGACUAUGAUGCAAGAAUUUGGUUUGCAAAAUUGAAGGAAAUUUAUUGUGCGCACUGUUUCGAUAAAUAAGAAAUCAUGUAUACAUAGCGUACGGUGUAUCGUUUAUAGCGGAAAUGCUUUUUAUUGUGGCAAAGCAGGGUUAAACCAUAAUAUUUUAGCACCUGUUACGUGUGUAGUCUGUUACGUAUGUAGUUAUUUAUAUCACAUACAAAAGAUAUUUUAAAAGGACAAGACGUUCAAGAAAUGCGAUUUAACAUGAAGGAAGAGGUGUUGAACAGUUAUUUGUACUUUGGUGUUAUACUGCUACUCACAUAAAGCCUAAAGUAUUUAAUUAUUUAGACCAUAUUGUUGCUAUUUAAAAAAAUCAGGUCAUGUGCUCGAGGUUAUUGGGAACGAAGGUCGUUUAAAUGGAAAAUUUGAUAAUAAUUGACUCUUUUUAACAUUAUAUACUAUUCUUUUCUUUUUUUUUCAGAUUAAUAGUAAAAGCAUAAUUUGCAUUGGCUAUGCAUUCCUGUUUCUGAUUCAAUAUAUAAAAAAGAAGAUGUGGUAUGAUUGCCAAUGAGACAACUGUCCACAAAAGACUAAAAUGACACAGACAUUAACAUUAACAUAUGUUUGUUCUAGUAAGUUUAACUUGAUUAAAAUUAGUCCGGUACAGUACUGCUUUCUCAUUUACUUUUCACCUCACAUCAGAUUAUUUCUUAACUUUCUGUAGGAUUUUAUCUGGAAUUCAUUUUGAACAUAUACUAUUACACAAUAGUUCUGCAUUACGCAUGUUACAGGCAGAAUAUACCCGCGAUGUCUGUUUCAUACAUUUUUACAACGUUUGCUUCCAAAAUUACCAAAGUAUUUAACUUAUCUACAGAGUAACAGCUAUCCGUAGGAACUAAAUUGUUUCAAACAUAUGUUUGAACUGCGUUUUCUAUUGUCUUUCUGGAGGGUAAAAUUGCGGUUGUACACCUUGAAUGGCGUUAAAACAUAGAAGUUAUAUAAAAAAGACAACAUCUAUUCCAAUGGAUUUACCAUAAAAAUACAUAGUAACAAUUCAAACAACUUAACAUGUUACCCAAGCACAAGAACGUUUAGAUAUAUACACUAAGACUUAAUGGGAAUAUCGAAUCGGCAUGCCCUAGAUCAAGAAAGAGAAUGCAAUAUAUAUUUUAAAAAAAUGCAGAAAUUCAUAUUCAAGAUUGACCAGUAUGUGAAGGAAAAAUGUAAAUGUGAGUUGUGAAUACGACAUACAUUGGUCAUCUUUGAUAAAGAUAUGUCCAAAAUGCAGAUAAAUGCUCAUUCAAAUGUGGAAUAUUAUGUAUGACAGACAGAUAGAUAGAUAGAUAGAUAGAUAGAUAGAUAGAUAGAUAGAUAGAUAGAUAGAUAGAUAGAUAGUUAGAUAGAUAGAUAGAUAGAUAGAUAGAUAGUUUAUUCUCUUACCAAGUACAAAGGUUAUUGAGAUGUUAAAAAAUAAUAUACGUAAAAAUAAAAAUGCAUCAACAAUGCAUAAAAUUAAAAAUUUGUGAUGAGAUAACAUGUAUGCGAGAAAAGUAUAUUCCAUAUAGAUAGAUAUAAUAGUAGUAGAAGAUAGAUAGAUAGAUAGAUAGAUAGAUGAUAGAUAAUAGUAGAUAGAUAGAUAGAUAGAUAGAAGAUAGAAGAUAGAUAGAUAGAUAGAUAGAUAGAUAGAUAAUAGAUAGAUAGAUAGAUAGAUAGGAUAGAUAGAUUUUAUUCUCUUACAAGUACAAAGGUUAUUGAGAUGUUAAAUAUACGUAAAAAUGCAUCAACAAUGCAUAAAAUUAAAAAUUUGUGAUGAGAUAACAUGUAUGCGAGAAAAGUAUAUUCCAUCAUGAAGUUCCUGAAUGUAGUUUGAAAUAUAACCAUAGCAAGAUCACCAUUCAACUAAAUUUACAUCAAUUUUUAGAUCAUGUGUGUUAAUUUUACCUACGUUCUCAAUCAGCUACUACAAUUUAUGUGCUGGUGAAGGCUAGAAUUGAGACAAGCUUCGAUAAAUCUAUGUUUUCCAUUGUACAAAUGUCCUAAUCAAACAAUAGACAGUUGAUUUUGCAAUGUCAACACCAUAAGGCGGGAGAUACAAAGAAAACAUUUAAAAAGUCAUGAGAAACUGAAAACGCCGUAGCAAAAAACAAAAGAAAAAAAAGAACAAUCAUGUCCACUAUGUCUUGAAAAGAUACCCAUAAGUAACUAAUGUGCAACACGAAUACCAUCUAAAAAUGGGAGCAAACGCAAGUUUAAUCAGUUAACUGAAUGUGAAUCAACGAGACAUGCCAAUACAUAUGAUUUUGCCUUGAUAGGUUUUGUCAACGUACCAAUAGUUGAAUUAUCAUAGUAUACAAAGGCAUUAUUGUAAAAUUUGAAAAGGUCAAAGGUCAUACCAACAGCGGACAAGUUCAUAACAGAGAAGCAAAAGAUACACGAGGGACAGUCAAACUCGAAAAUAAACGGACAACUCCAUAGUUAAAAAGACAUAAAAAAAACAAGACAAACAAUUUUGCACAAAGCAUAACAAAGAAAACGUAAGACUGAGCAACUCAAACCAACCACAAAAUGGGUGCAAUGCGCAAUAACUUAAACACAAACGAGAGGUGAAAAAUACCAAAAGGAAAGCAAACUCAUAAUUCAAAGAAAAUCUGAGAAAGUCAUGGCAAAAAAACAUGAAAAAUAAACAACAAAAAACUACGGAACAGAAGUCUACAAAACGAAGAGAAAAAACUCAGCAACUUUACCCAAAAAGAGUCCGGGAAAUUUCUAGUGCUCCGAAAGGGUAGGCACAUUUAAAUACUGAAAGUCUAACGAAAUACCAUACAUGCAUGCUGGCUAGAAUAGGCUUUGAAUUAUAUAUAAUUUGAAGGACUAUUUCAUAAAAAGCAGAAUCCACUUUAAACCAUACUGAUCAUUGUUACCACAGUUUCUUUUAAAAAUGUGGAUUACUUGUCGUUUCGGUGUCCAAAGUCAAUUGCAGUAAUUUAAAUUAUAGAGUACUAAAAAAAGUGAAUCGACCAAAUGCGCUUUUCUUAAAUUUAUUAUACUUCAGUUAUUAUUUUUAGAUAAAAUAAGUACACAUUAUGUUCACUAUUGAACCGGUCAAUUAAUUGGACCUCACUGAAUCUAUUUCACCUAAAGCGUCAUUGUAUUUUGCGGAAAUGUAAAUAGAGCUACAAGAUUGGAUUAUGUUAAGAAUGUUGUGGGAUUAACGACGUCGCGUUUUACUUAUUGUACAUAUGGUUGAUGUCAGUGCAAGACGUAGCCUUAGAAUUCAAAAUACUGUAAAUUCAGAAAUUAUUGCGAGGUUUUUAUUUUUGCGAAAAUUGCGACACAGUUGUAAACGCAAUAAUUUAAACUCGCAUUUUGAAAUAUUUUAUAUGAAUUAAACUGGAUUUUUUCUCAAAAUUGUAAAAAUUAAAAUCGCAUUUAAGUCUAAAAUGACAAAAUCACAUUUAAGUCUAAAAUGACAAAAUCGCAAUAAUAAAUGAACACAAUAAUUUCUGAAUUUACAGUAUAUAUGAAGUGAAGGUGAAAAGUAAGGUUAUGUUUAUGAUUUUUAUAUUACGAUAGUAACUCGUACAAUUAAGAAACAAAAUUGACGUAUGUGUACUUAAUCUAUGUUAUUUUUUUUUUUCAUUUACAGAUACACAAUCACCACCAGAACAGACUGGUAAAAGUGUAUGUUUAUUUAUUUAUUGAAAACAAACGAUUCGAUUAAUAAAAAAUAUGUUUUUUAUAUCAUUUAUGGAUAAAAAGUAAAAUCACAAAAAUACUGAACUCAGAGGAAAAUCAAAUCGGAAAGUCCAUAAUUACAUGGCAAAAUCCAAUGACAAAACACAUCAAAAACAAAUGGACAAGAACUGUCAUAUUCCUGACCUGGUACAGGCAUUUUCAAAUGUAGAAAAUGGUGGAUUAAACCUGGUUUUAUAGCGCUAAACCUGUUAUAUUCCUGACCUGGUACAGGCGUUUUCAAAUGUAGAAAAUGGUUGAUUAAACCUGGUUUUAUAGCGCUAAACCUUUCACUUUGUUGACAGUCUCAUCAAAUUCAUCGGACUUUUCCAUACAAGUAUACCAAUACAUAUCUCAAUAACUUUUCCGAUUUGUUUUGCCGUGGAACCCAAUUUUUUUUUUCAAAAUAAAACUAUCAUGAUUGCUGAUUUUGAAUAGAAUAUAUUAUAUCCAAUAUAAGAACAGAAUCGUAUAAAUUAAGUUAAAUCGAUAUUUGAAGUGGGAGAUCUAUAAAAUUGGUAUUCGACGUCGACUUUAUUAUAGAAUAUAUAAGACAAAUAACAAAACGUAAUGGGAUAGUGUAAGAUGAUUCUUUGUAAGCUCAUGGCUGUUAAGAUACAGAAAAAGUGUUUACAAAAAUACCGAACUCUAAGGUAAAUUCAAAUUGGGAAGUCCUUAAAAUAGUGUGUAAAGUACAAAACACAGAUUGAGGUAAUGGUCAUUACGAUGUGCUAUGUGCAAUACAUGACUGUAACGGGUGUUGGGAAAACGGAUAUUGAAGUAAAACAAUGUACUUUUUUUUAUUUUAGUUAAGAAUACAAUUCAUGAAUAUAAAUUUAAUAUAUUUUUUUUCUUUUACAGGAAGCAAGGCCUGUGCAACAUUAACUGUCAGUUAUUAUUUGUUGAUUUUGUGUUUCUAUGCUUGUGCCAUUUCCUCCCAGAUAACAUAAGUAUAUAAACUCAUCGUAGGUACCAGGAUUGAUGUUACACCAAAAUGAUCGGGUAGAACUGAUAAAAACUUGAUAAUCAUUUCGUUUUUUUACAGAUAUUGAUAGAUGUGUUUAUACUGAUGAAAGCGUGUUU